This 253-nucleotide ribosomal RNA is filed under the name uncultured bacterium. RNAcentral's name for it is "partial 16S ribosomal RNA". It matches the Rfam family "Bacterial small subunit ribosomal RNA", at positions 524 to 776 of the family's 1533-position model. The record is from RNAcentral.
UACAGAGACUGCAAGCGUUAUUCGGAUUCACUGGGCGUAAAGGGUGCGCAGGCGGUUGUGUGUGUCAGGUGUGAAAGCCCGGGGCUUAACCCCGGAAUUGCGCCUGAAACUACAUGACUAGAGCAUUGGAGAGGGUAGCGGAAUUCACGGUGUAGCAGUGAAAUGCGUAGAUAUCGUGAGGAACACCGAUGGCGAAGGCAGGUCUCUGGGCUGUAACUGACGCUGAGGAGCGAAAGCAUGGGGAGCGAACAGG